Molecule: long non-coding RNA, 234 nt
Filed under: Malus domestica (apple)
Lineage: Eukaryota; Viridiplantae; Streptophyta; Magnoliopsida; Rosales; Rosaceae
Description: long non-coding RNA (MDOM_LNC019612)
Source: RNAcentral
CUGAUAGGAGCAUAUUUAUGCGCCUUAGUUAGCUAGUUCUUAUGCAUUUUUGUUAUGUUUUCUUUGUUAAAGUAGUCUUUUAAGCUACUUUCUUGUGUUUUCAGGUUUAGCGGACGUAUUACAUGAAAUGAUGCAAUUUGGAGCUUUUGGAGCAAAAAGUGAGUUUGAAUUGAAAAGGACAUGCUUGGAACGCAAGGUUGGGAUGGAAUUGAAGAGUUGAAGAUUUGAGGUUUC